This 403-nucleotide ribosomal RNA is filed under the name Verrucomicrobiota bacterium. RNAcentral describes it as "Verrucomicrobia bacterium partial 16S ribosomal RNA". It matches the Rfam family "Bacterial small subunit ribosomal RNA", at positions 355 to 776 of the family's 1533-position model. The record is from RNAcentral. Lineage: Bacteria; Pseudomonadati; Verrucomicrobiota.
UGGGGAAUAUUGCACAAUGGAGGGAACUCUGAUGCAGCGACGCCGCGUGAACGAAGAAGGCUUUCGAGUCGUAAAGUUCUUUUAUAUGGGAAGAUAAUGACGGUACCAUAAGAAAAAGCCCCGGCUAACUACGUGCCAGCAGCCGCGGUAAUACGUAGGGGGCUAGCGUUGUCCGGAAUCACUGGGCGUAAAGGGUUCGCAGGCGGAAAUGCAAGUCAGGUGUAAAAGGCAGUAGCUUAACUACUGUAAGCAUUUGAAACUGCAUAUCUUGAGAAGAGUAGAGGUAAGUGGAAUUUUUAGUGUAGCGAUGAAAUGCGUAGAUAUUAAAAAGAAUACCGGUGGCGAAGGCGACUUACUGGGCUCAUUCUGACGCUGAGGAACGAAAGAGUGGGUAGCAAACAGG